This 350-nucleotide transfer-messenger RNA is filed under the name Candidatus Yanofskyibacteriota bacterium. It matches the Rfam family "transfer-messenger RNA". From Rfam's summary of the family: Bacterial tmRNA, also known as 10Sa RNA or SsrA, is named for its dual tRNA and mRNA-like properties. Its role is to liberate the mRNA from a stalled ribosome. The record is from RNAcentral. Lineage: Bacteria; Candidatus Yanofskyibacteriota.
GGGGAUGCUAGGUUUCGACAAGAUUUUUUAACAAUUAGAUGCUAGGGGUGGAUGACCGUUAAUCACCUUAAAUAUCCGGUCAAACAUAUAGGUGCCAAUUAUACACCUAAUUACGCUUUCGCUUAANNUAAGCCAUUCUGUCUUCGAUACUCGCUAGGAGAUCACAGAGUGUCAUAAACAGCGAGCUUGCCAGCUUUUGAUUCUUCUCCAACUGCUGGGACAUAAUGAGAGGAUAGUCGGAGAUAAUUUUUUCAGCUUUGUACUCUUCGGUGAAACAAUAAACUGAAUAUCUUAGUAGACAUCUAUUUGUACGAAUUUUGGACGCGAUUUCAAUAUCGCCAUCUCCACUA